RNAcentral lists this small nucleolar RNA (213 nucleotides) under Amborella trichopoda. RNAcentral's name for it is "snoRNA Plant_U3". It matches the Rfam family "Plant small nucleolar RNA U3". Rfam says of the family: Small nucleolar RNAs (snoRNAs) are involved in the processing and modification of rRNA in the nucleolus. There are two main classes of snoRNAs: the box C/D class, and the box H/ACA class. Lineage: Eukaryota; Viridiplantae; Streptophyta; Magnoliopsida; Amborellales; Amborellaceae. The record is from Rfam by way of RNAcentral.
AUGGCCUAGAAAAAACAUAUGAUCUGUUCUAUAGGUUGUACAUCCGUUUCCAUUGACACAAUGGAGACACACAACAAUCUGGAAGAUGACAUAAUGCCACAUGGCCAGAGUGUGAAUACUGGCUUGGGGCCCCACGGGGCUCCUUGAGCCCUAGAGGAUCGCUCUCAACGAGCCAACAGCUGAUGAGUUGGCCAUGUGGCCGUCAAACAGAUC